Molecule: unclassified non-coding RNA, 337 nt
Filed under: soil metagenome
Description: partial contains 5.8S ribosomal RNA, internal transcribed spacer 2, and large subunit ribosomal RNA
Rfam family: 5.8S ribosomal RNA (bases 1-120)
Source: RNAcentral
GAUGAAGAACGUAGCGAAAAGCGAUAAGUAGUGUGAAUUGCAGAAUUCAGUGAAUCAUCGAAUCUUUGAACGCACAUUGCGCCCCUUGGUAUUCCAUGGGGCAUGCCUGUUCGAGCGUCAUUUGUACCUUCAAGCUCUGCUUGGUGUUGGGUGUUUGUCUCGCCUCUGCGUGUAGACUCGCCUCAAAACAAUUGGCAGCCGGCGUAUUGAUUUCGGAGCGCAGUACAUCUCGCGCUUUGCACUCAUAACGACGACGUCCAAAAGUACAUUUUUACACUCUUGACCUCGGAUCAGGUAGGGAUACCCGCUGAACUUAAGCAUAUCAAUAAGCGGAGGA